AUGAGGAUUCCAGUGCCUACGGAAAUACUAACUUUAUUAUGGAAUAGGAAAGGAAGGAAAAGCAAUGGUUGCAUUUCACUUACAAACAUUAGUGCAACCAACUGUGGUCAAAACCAAUCUGGCAAAGUUGAACUGCACAGAUCCAACAUUGCCCCUCCAGCCUUCCAAAAGGAGACUCCAGCUUCAAAGAGUCACAGGGCUGACAUCAAAGGAGCAAACUUAAAGCAGUGUUCUCCUCAGGGUCCUGACACGGCAGCUGACAGGGCCAACAGCACUCCUGCAGGAAAACCUGGGAGGGGAGAAGUCCAGGGGAACUUUUCACCACAGCGCUUGAAGAUAAUGAUUACAAAGUUAAGGCAAGGCAAAGUCUCUUGUUCUUGUGGAGUUACUGGUUUCAGGGGAUUUUUUUUACUUAAGUACUCAAGGUGUGCAGAGCUCUUUCCCUUCUCCACAGCCACUGCCUAGAGCUGUACUUGCAUCAAUCUGUUUAUUUGUAACAAAUCAGUUUUAGAAUCUGUUUUAAAAGCAGCCUUGACGUGCAAAUUGGUAAUAUGGCCUAAGUACUAACAGCUUGUGUAUUUGAUUAUAAACAUUAUAACUUGCUCAAAAUAGACUUACAUGGGUUUGGUUGCACUCCA
This 638-nucleotide long non-coding RNA is filed under the name Manacus vitellinus (golden-collared manakin). RNAcentral's name for it is "lncRNA (ENSMVIG00005003757.1)". The record is from RNAcentral. Lineage: Eukaryota; Metazoa; Chordata; Aves; Passeriformes; Pipridae.